Molecule: ribosomal RNA, 884 nt
Filed under: uncultured bacterium
Lineage: Bacteria
Description: bacterial SSU rRNA
Rfam family: Bacterial small subunit ribosomal RNA
Source: RNAcentral
UGGCUCAGGACGAACGCUGGCGGCGUGCUUAACACAUGCAAGUCGAGCGGUAAGGCCCNUUCGGGGGUACACGAGCGGCGAACGGGUGAGUAACACGUGAGCAAUCUGCCCUNCACAUCGGGAUAACUCUCGGAAACGAGAGCUAAUACCGGAUACGACCACUUCAGGCAUCUGAUGGUGGUGGAAAGUUCCGGCGGUGAAGGAUGAGCUCGCGGCCUAUCAGCUUGUUGGUGGGGUAACGGCCCACCAAGGCUUCGACGGGUAGCCGGCCCGAGAGGGUGACCGGCCACACUGGGACUGAGACACGGCCCAGACUCCUACGGGAGGCAGCAGUGGGGAAUAUUGGACAAUGGGCGAAAGCCUGAUCCAGCAACGCCGCGUGAGGGAUGACGGCCUUCGGGUUGUAAACCUCUUUCAGUAGGGACGAAGCGCAAGUGACGGUACCUACAGAGGAAGCACCGGCCAACUACGUGCCAGCAGCCGCGGUAAUACGUAGGGUGCGAGCGUUGUCCGGAAUUAUUGGGCGUAAAGGGCUCGUAGGCGGUUUGUUACGUCGGGAGUGAAAACCCAGGGCUCAACCCUGGGCCUGCUUCCGAUACGGGCAGACUAGAGGUAUGCAGGGGAGAACGGAAUUCCUGGUGUAGCGGUGAAAUGCGCAGAUAUCAGGAGGAACACCGGUGGCGAAGGCGGUUCUCUGGGCAUUACCUGACGCUGAGGAGCGAAAGUGUGGGGAGCGAACAGGAUUAGAUACCCUGGUAGUCCACACCGUAAACGUUGGGCGCUAGGUGUGGGACUCAUUCCACGAGUUCCGUGCCGCAGCUAACGCAUUAAGCGCCCCGCCUGGGGAGUACGGCCGCAAGGCUAAAACUCAAAUGAAUUGACGG